AAUUCAACAUUAUAAUUUGCCAAUCAAAUUUGAGUCAACUGUGACAGUUCCAAAUAAACAUUACAUUAAACUACAUUAAACUACAAAAAACUACAAUUACGUAAAAUUUGAUUCAACAGUAAAAUCAAAUUUUGAGUCAACAGUUACAGUUCCAAAUAAACAUUACAUUACACUACAAAAAACUACAAAAAACUACAAUUAACUACAAAUUGAAUUCAACAGUAUAUUUUGCCAAUCAAUUACACAUUAACUCCGAAUAACAACAAUUAACUACANN
Molecule: long non-coding RNA, 277 nt
Filed under: Nicotiana benthamiana
Lineage: Eukaryota; Viridiplantae; Streptophyta; Magnoliopsida; Solanales; Solanaceae
Description: long non-coding RNA (NBEN_LNC038210)
Source: RNAcentral